GAAAUGCGAUAAGUAAUGUGAAUUGCAGAAUUCAGUGAAUCAUCGAAUCUUUGAACGCACAUUGCGCCCGUCAGCAUUCUGGCGGGCAUGCCUGUUCGAGCGUCAUUUCAACCCUCAGGACCCCCCUUUCGCGGGGAGGGACCUGGCGUUGGGGAUCGGCCCGCCCCCCGCGGCGGCGCCGUCCCCGAAAUCUAGUGGCGGUCUCGCUGCAGCCUCCCCUGCGUAGUAGUUACAACCUCGCAUCGGAGCGCGGCGCGGCCACGCCGUAAAACCCCCGACUUUCUGAACGUUGACCUCGGAUCAGGUCGGAAUACCCGCUGAACUUAAGC
This 329-nucleotide unclassified non-coding RNA is filed under the name plant metagenome. RNAcentral's name for it is "partial contains 5.8S ribosomal RNA, internal transcribed spacer 2, and large subunit ribosomal RNA". The stretch from base 1 to 105 matches the Rfam family "5.8S ribosomal RNA", at positions 50 to 154 of the family's 154-position model. The record is from RNAcentral.